This 461-nucleotide ribosomal RNA is filed under the name uncultured bacterium. RNAcentral describes it as "partial 16S ribosomal RNA". It matches the Rfam family "Bacterial small subunit ribosomal RNA", at positions 338 to 795 of the family's 1533-position model. The record is from RNAcentral.
CCUACGGGUGGCAGCAGUGAGGAAUAUUGGUCAAUGGGCGAGAGCCUGAACCAGCCAAGUCGCGUGAAGGAUGACGGCCCUACGGGUUGUAAACUUCUUUUGUCAGGGAGCAAUUGAGUCCACGUGUGGUCUUAGCGAGAGUACCUGAAGAAAAAGCAUCGGCUAACUCCGUGCCAGCAGCCGCGGUAAUACGUAGGGGGCAAGCGUUAUCCGGAUUUACUGGGUGUAAAGGGAGCGUAGACGGCAGUGCAAGUCUGGAGUGAAAGGCGGGGGCUCAACCCCCGGACUGCUCUGGAAACUGUACGGCUGGAGUGCAGGAGAGGUAAGUGGAAUUCCUAGUGUAGCGGUGAAAUGCGUAGAUAUUAGGAGGAACACCAGUGGCGAAGGCGGCUUACUGGACUGUAACUGACGUUGAGGCUCGAAAGCGUGGGGAGCAAACAGGAUUAGAUACCCGUGUAGUC